RNAcentral lists this ribosomal RNA (400 nucleotides) under uncultured bacterium. RNAcentral's name for it is "bacterial SSU rRNA". It matches the Rfam family "Bacterial small subunit ribosomal RNA", at positions 355 to 772 of the family's 1533-position model. The record is from RNAcentral.
UGGGGAAUAUUGGACAAUGGGCGAAAGCCUGAUCCGGCAAUGCCGCGUGAGUGAUGAAGGCCUUAGGGUUGUAAAGCUCUUUUAGCAGGGAAGAUAAUGACGGUACCUGCAGAAAAAGCCCCGGCUAACUCCGUGCCAGCAGCCGCGGUAAGACGGAGGGGGCUAGCGUUGUUCGGAAUUACUGGGCGUAAAGAGCGCGUAGGCGGCUUAAUAAGUUGGGAGUGAAAGCCCGGGGCUUAACCUCGGAACUGCUUCCAAAACUGUUGAGCUAGAGUAUGGUAGAGGAUGAUGGAAUUCCUAGUGUAGAGGUGAAAUUCUUAGAUAUUAGGAGGAACACCGGUGGCGAAGGCGGUCAUCUGGGCCAUUACUGACGCUGAGGCGCGAAAGCGUGGGGAGCAAA